UGGGGAAUAUUGCACAAUGGGCGCAAGCCUGAUGCAGCCAUGCCGCGUGUGUGAAGAAGGCCUUCGGGUUGUAAAGCACUUUCAGCGAGGAGGAAGGUGGUGAACUUAAUACGUUCAUCAAUUGACGUUACUCGCAGAAGAAGCACCGGCUAACUCCGUGCCAGCAGCCGCGGUAAUACGGAGGGUGCAAGCGUUAAUCGGAAUUACUGGGCGUAAAGCGCACGCAGGCGGUUUGUUAAGUCAGAUGUGAAAUCCCCGGGCUCAACCUGGGAACUGCAUUUGAAACUGGCAAGCUAGAGUCUCGUAGAGGGGGGUAGAAUUCCAGGUGUAGCGGUGAAAUGCGUAGAGAUCUGGAGGAAUACCGGUGGCGAAGGCGGCCCCCUGGACGAAGACUGACGCUCAGGUGCGAAAAGCGUGGGGAGCAAAACAGGAUUAGAUACCCUGGUAGUCCACGCUGUAAAACGAUGUCGAUUUUGGAGGUUGUGCCCUUGAGGCGUGGNUUCCGGAGCUAACGCGUUAAAUCGACCGCCUGGGGAGUACGGCC
This 544-nucleotide ribosomal RNA is filed under the name uncultured bacterium. RNAcentral's name for it is "partial 16S ribosomal RNA". It matches the Rfam family "Bacterial small subunit ribosomal RNA", at positions 355 to 887 of the family's 1533-position model. The record is from RNAcentral.